RNAcentral lists this ribosomal RNA (467 nucleotides) under uncultured bacterium. Its description in RNAcentral is "partial 16S ribosomal RNA". It matches the Rfam family "Bacterial small subunit ribosomal RNA", at positions 28 to 506 of the family's 1533-position model. The record is from RNAcentral.
GACGAACGCUGGCGGCGUGCUUAAUACAUGCAAGUCGAACGGAAAGGCCCUGCUUUUGUGGGGUGCUCGAGUGGCGAACGGGUGAGUAACACGUGAGUAACCUGCCCCUGACUUUGGGAUAACUUCAGGAAACUGGGGCUAAUACCGGAUAGGAGCUCCUGCUGCAUGGUGGGGGUUGGAAAGAUUCGGUGGUUGGGGAUGGAGUCGAGGCUUAUCAGCUUGAUGGUGGGGUAGUGGCUUAACAAGGCUUUGAAGGGUAGCCGGCCUGGGAGGGUGACCGGCCCCAUAGGGCUUGGGAAGCGGCCCAGAGGCAUACGGGCGGCAUGGGCGGGGAAUAUAGGACAAAGGGCGGAGGCAGGAAUGAGCAUCUCCGGGUGCGAGAAGUCGGCUUUCGGGUUAUAACCCGUUUUCACGUGUGAGGGAGCAUCAUGGACGGAAAUGGGCAGAGAGACACCGCUAAACAAGGU